AACCUCAUUAGUAUAUUUAGUAUUCCUGUCUUCCAAACAGGGGGUCCGGCAUAGCGGCGGGUGGGGUUA
This 69-nucleotide transfer RNA is filed under the name Lingula anatina. RNAcentral's name for it is "tRNA-Gly". The record is from RNAcentral. Lineage: Eukaryota; Metazoa; Brachiopoda; Lingulata; Lingulida; Lingulidae.